RNAcentral lists this ribosomal RNA (470 nucleotides) under uncultured bacterium. Its description in RNAcentral is "SSU rRNA". It matches the Rfam family "Bacterial small subunit ribosomal RNA", at positions 26 to 518 of the family's 1533-position model. The record is from RNAcentral.
AGGACGAACGCUGGCGGCGUGCUUAACACAUGCAAGUCGAACGGAAAGGCCCUUCGGGGUACUCGAGUGGCGAACGGGUGAGUAACACGUGGGUGAUCUGCCCCGCACUUUGGGAUAAGCCUGGGAAACUGGGUCUAAUACCGAAUAGGACCAUGGGAUGCAUGUCCUGUGGUGGAAAGCUUUUGCGGUGUGGGAUGGGCCCGCGGCCUAUCAGCUUGUUGGUGGGGUUAAGGCCUACCAAGGCGACGACGGGUAGCCGGCCUGAGAGGGUGUCCGGCCACACUGGGACUGAGAUACGGCCCAGACUCCUACGGGAGGCAGCAGUGGGGAAUAUUGCACAAUGGGCGCAAGCCUGAUGCAGCGACGCCGCGUGGGGAUGACGGCCUUCGGUUGUAACCUCUUUCAGUAGGACGAAGCGCAGUGACGGUACCUACAGAAGAAGCACCGGCCACUACGCGCCACGCAGCCGC